RNAcentral lists this ribosomal RNA (451 nucleotides) under uncultured bacterium. Its description in RNAcentral is "bacterial SSU rRNA". It matches the Rfam family "Bacterial small subunit ribosomal RNA", at positions 8 to 461 of the family's 1533-position model. The record is from RNAcentral.
AGAGUUUGAUCCUGGCUCAGAUUGAACGCUGGCGGCAUGCUUUACACAUGCAAGUCGAACGGCAGCACGGGCUUCGGCCUGGUGGCGAGUGGCGAACGGGUGAGUAAUGCGUCGGAACGCGCCGAGUAGUGGGGGAUAACGCAGCGAAAGCUGUGCUAAUACCGCAUACGUACUGAGGUAGAAAGUGGGGGACCUUCGGGCCUCACGCUACUCGAGCGGCCGACGUCUGAUUAGCUAGUUGGUGGGGUAAAGGCUCACCAAGGCGACGAUCAGUAGCGGGUCUGAGAGGAUGAUCCGCCACACUGGGACUGAGACACGGCCCAGACUCCUACGGGAGGCAGCAGUGGGGAAUUUUGGACAAUGGGCGCAAGCCUGAUCCAGCCAUGCCGCGUGUCUGAAGAAGGCCUUCGGGUUGUAAAGGACUUUUGUCCGGGAGCAAAGCCUACUUGUU